This 433-nucleotide ribosomal RNA is filed under the name uncultured bacterium. RNAcentral's name for it is "partial 16S ribosomal RNA". It matches the Rfam family "Bacterial small subunit ribosomal RNA", at positions 29 to 507 of the family's 1533-position model. The record is from RNAcentral.
AACGAACGCUGGCGGCAGGCCUAACACAUGCAAGUCGAACGCACCUUUCGGGGUGAGUGGCUGACGGGUGAGUAACGCGUGGGAAUCUACCCUUCUCUACGGGAUAGCUCCGGGAAACUGGAAUUAAUACCGUAUACGUCCUGAGGGAGAAAGAUUUAUCGGGGAAGGAUGAGCCCGCGUUGGAUUAGCUAGUUGGUGGGGUAAAGGCCUACUAAGGCGACGAUCCAUAGCUGGUCUAAGAGGAUGAUCAGCCACAUUGGGACUGAGACACGGCCCAAACUCCUACGGGAGGCGGCAGUGGGGGAUAUUGGACAGUGGGCGCAAGCCUGAUCCAGCCAUGCCGGGUGAGUGAUGAAGGCCCUAGAGUUGUAAAGCUCUUUCAGUGGGGACGGUAAUGACGGUACCCACAGAAGAAGCCCCGGCUAACUUCGUG